Molecule: long non-coding RNA, 238 nt
Filed under: Gossypium barbadense (sea-island cotton)
Lineage: Eukaryota; Viridiplantae; Streptophyta; Magnoliopsida; Malvales; Malvaceae
Description: long non-coding RNA (GBAR_LNC007265)
Source: RNAcentral
AAAACAGCACCCCGACUAUCUAAUCCAUUUCUCCCUCAACUUAUUGAAUAUAAACCAAAUCACAAAGUAAUAAAAUGAAUCAACAAAUAUAUAUAUAAACAAUAAAAAGAAAAAGAACCAAACACAUUAUAAUAACAUUAAAAUGCAACAAAUAACAUCUAAUUUAUAAUAAAUAAAAACACUCAUAAAUAGAGAUCACUACAAUAUAAGAAUAAUAUAAACGAACAUUAAAUUUAAC